UACGUAGGCAGCGAGCGUUGUUCGGAGUUACUGGGCGUAAAGGGUGUGUAGGCGGUUCUUUAAGUUUGGUGUGAAAUCUCCCGGCUCAACCGGGAGGGUGCGCCGAAUACUGAGGGACUAGAGUACGGGAGAGGAAAGUGGAAUUCCUGGUGUAGCGGUGAAAUGCGUAGAUAUCAGGAGGAACACCGGUGGUGUAGACGGCUUUCUGGACCGUAACUGACGCUGAGACACGAAGGCUAGGGGAGCAAACGGG
RNAcentral lists this ribosomal RNA (253 nucleotides) under uncultured bacterium. Its description in RNAcentral is "partial 16S ribosomal RNA". It matches the Rfam family "Bacterial small subunit ribosomal RNA", at positions 524 to 776 of the family's 1533-position model. The record is from RNAcentral.